GGAAGAAGCGAAAGUGACGGUACCUGAAGAAAAAGCACCGGCUAACUACGUGCCAGCAGCCGCGGUAAUACGUAGGGUGCAAGCGUUGUCCGGAAUUAUUGGGCGUAAAGAGCUCGUAGGCGGUUUGUCGCGUCUGCUGUGAAAACGCGAGGCUCAACCUCGCGCCUGCAGUGGGUACGGGCAGACUAGAGUGCGGUAGGGGAGAUUGGAAUUCCUGGUGUAGCGGUGGAAUGCGCAGAUAUCAGGAGGAACACCGAUGGCGAAGGCAGAUCUCUGGGCCGUAACUGACGCUGAGGAGCGAAAGCGUGGGGAGCGAACAGGAUUAGAUACCCUGGUAGUCCACGCCGUAAACGUUGGGAACUAGAUGUGGGGUCCAUUCCACGGAUUCCGUGUCGCAGCUAACGCAUUAAGUUCCCCGCCUGGGGAGUACGGCCGUAAGGCUAAAACUCAAAGGAAUUGACGGGGGCCCGCACAAGCGGCGGAGCAUGCGGAUUAAUUCGAUGCAACGCGAAGAACCUUACCAAGGCUUGACAUACACCGGAAACGGCCAGAAAUGGUCGCCCCGCAAGGUCGGUGUACAGGUGGUGCAUGGUUGUCGUCAGCUCGUGUCGUGAGAUGUU
Molecule: ribosomal RNA, 620 nt
Filed under: uncultured bacterium
Lineage: Bacteria
Description: bacterial SSU rRNA
Rfam family: Bacterial small subunit ribosomal RNA
Source: RNAcentral